CUGCGCGGGGGCCGGAGCUCUGGCAGGACGGGUAGAGCUGCUCGCUGCAGGCUGACCGCGGCUGGUACAUCGCUUCAUGUUGGAAAGUGCCCGCUCGCCGCUGGCUGCUGUAAUAUUCCGGCGAGUGACUGGGAAGCUGCAGAAGAACUAAUUGUUCCGUGUCCGAUGUACGCCAUGGAAGCGGGAGCAGCGAUGAAAAAUGCGAAGGAAAAUCCCCGCCUACCUGCACGAGUUUCCCUUUGUGUAUGGAAUGGACCCAAACUUACGUAGAUCAGCUUUAUUGGUAUGCAUGAAAAAAAAAAUGUGCGAUUAAGAGAGAACCAUGACUGUAGAAGAAAAAAAAGGAAUCCGAUGAGAGGCUGAAGUUAGCUGCUUUGCAGGAGCCGGGCAGCGCAGAUAUUUGAUUAGAAUUACGCAAUAUUGAUAGCACUGCAAAAACAGCGAUUAUCUGGCGUGAUCAGCUCCGCAUGCAAAUUUUGGGCUAAGAAAUUGGAAGUCCUGAUAAUUCAAUGCAACCGCAUUCUCGAGGACUGCCGCGAACUGCCCUCUUUGAAGAAACCACCCACGUAAUAACGACCCUGGAGAGCAGCGCAAAACCCAGCCGGCGGCCGCGCCAACUUCGCCAAAUUACUGGGCUCGCCCGAAGACAGGCGAAGGGGCAGGAGAUCCUGCGAGGGGAAAAAAUAAAACACGGCAACCGCCCGCAAGGAGCUUGGUGGUUUUUUAAAGGCAGUAUCUAAAAGCCUCCGUGACCGAGCUACUGCAAAAUCCUUCAUUCCAAGUCUACUAUCUCCAGAGCGCUGCUGCGGAGAGCUUUCACCGGGGGAGAUCGUCCAGGAAAACGGCAGAUUUCCCCUUCUCAGCAAGCGGGAUUUCGGCGUGCAAAAGCCGCAGUAGCUGCUGCCUGUAAUAACGGGCUUGCCCUAGUUAGUACGUGCAGCCGGUGCCGCACGUCUGUGCUGCGCAUGUGGGCGCGCACGGGCUCGACGUGGCACCUUAUUUGCGCUGGAAGCUGCCGAAGGAUGCCCCGCGCCUCCUCCGCGGGCGAGGAGUUACCCGCGGCCGCGGUGGCGAACAGACAGACAGACAGAGCAGGAAGGCAGGCGAGAGGGUGGAAAGCUGCCACUGCCAAGCCAGCACCACCUCCGAGCGCUCUGCUUUUUUUUUUUCUUUUUUUGGUGCAUUUUACGCACACAGUGCGGAGCAAAUGGCGUGGAGGCUCCGCCGGGGGAACGCGCGUCCUCGCUGCGCGCCCGCGCAACGUAAAUAAACAAACAGCGCGGAGGGGGGACGCGCGGCCGCUCCCGCCCGGGCCCUGCUUUCCCCGCCGCUGCUCUGCAGCGCUGAUUUCCCUGCCUUUAAUGGCUUUCAUUUAUUUUAUGUGUGCUUUGAUGCUAAACAUUAUUUGGCGCUAAUGAAAUAGUUACAGUCCGCAAUAAAGUAAUUGAAGGGUGGAGGGAGAAUCUCCAAAAACUAAACCCACAGCAAAAUAUAUCGUCUUGCUGCAAAUUGGUUACAGGAACAAGCGAAUUAAAACAAGGGCGAAAAGCCUAUUCGAGCUGUUUCUGACUGCUCUGCAUUCCUCCUUUUUCAUUCCUCCUUUUUCCUCUUACCUACUUCAGUAGCAGCCACGGCUCAAUCCCAGAGAGGGAGGAGAAGGGCGACCAGCCCGCGGCUCCAGAGCCCCGAACAGGAAUUACAGUUUUGGUGUAUUCGCCAAACGUAUUGAAAAGGCACUGAAAUGUUGAAAACUGUAGCGAUGCUAAAAAAUGAGACCUUUUUAGUGAUACGCUGGGGUGUAUUUUAAUAUAAAAGGCUCUUUGAUAUAUUGACCUUACCUAAGGAAAAGGAACCCAGUGCCCCGGUGCUAUUUUAAGAGGAGGGGAAGGAACGCAACACAGCUGUAGAUUAUUGGAGAUUUUCUUUUUAUUUCGAAGAAUAAUAAUCACAGACGAGAAAAAAGCAACGCGUCGGCAUUAAAUAAUUUGCUACUUCGAUAUACAACAUUUUACGUAGCACAAUAUUAAUUCCUUUUUUUUU
Dromaius novaehollandiae (emu) is the source of this 2040-nucleotide long non-coding RNA. RefSeq lists it as uncharacterized. NCBI's taxonomy places the organism in Eukaryota, Metazoa, Chordata, Aves, Casuariiformes, Dromaiidae. The record is from RefSeq and is a predicted model, not a curated record. The transcript has 5 exons.